UGGAAAAUUCAGAAUUCAUCAGUUAUUUUAGAUAAUACUAUAAAACAAGGUAGAGUAAGAUACAGAAGUGUAAAAGAAAGUGGAUUCAUCAGAUGA
RNAcentral lists this ribosomal RNA (96 nucleotides) under Triticum aestivum (bread wheat). RNAcentral's name for it is "partial small subunit ribosomal RNA". The record is from RNAcentral. Lineage: Eukaryota; Viridiplantae; Streptophyta; Magnoliopsida; Poales; Poaceae.